This 107-nucleotide small nucleolar RNA is filed under the name Oryza meridionalis. Its description in RNAcentral is "Plant small nucleolar RNA R71". It matches the Rfam family "Plant small nucleolar RNA R71". From Rfam's summary of the family: R71 is a member of the C/D box family of snoRNAs containing the C (UGAUGA) and D (CUGA) box motifs. Lineage: Eukaryota; Viridiplantae; Streptophyta; Magnoliopsida; Poales; Poaceae. The record is from Rfam by way of RNAcentral.
AUCCCAUGAUGAGGACGGGCGGUGACGUAUUCCUGCAGCCUUUCCCAAGCUUCAAGAAUGGUUCAUCUCUUGUCUACUGAAAGCUGGAUAUUCUUCCACAAGAGCGU